Herpailurus yagouaroundi (jaguarundi) is the source of this 1324-nucleotide long non-coding RNA. RefSeq lists it as uncharacterized. Lineage: Eukaryota; Metazoa; Chordata; Mammalia; Carnivora; Felidae. The transcript has 2 exons. The record is from RefSeq and is a predicted model, not a curated record.
GAUGGGGCCAUGCGUAUUUAUACAGAAAGAAAGGAAAUGAGACAAAACAGAAACAGGUGGUAAAUGAGGUAAAGCGUUAAGGAGCUCGCUGUACUUUCUUUUUCUGUAAGUUCCAGCACACCCCAGAAGGAGCCUGUGCCCACUGGGGCUGUCUGGCCACUAAGAGGGGAGGCUGUGGCCCUGAUCUGCCACACCGUUUGAGGUCCUUUGCAGGAGACAGCCAGCCCUCUGCUGGCGCAGAUCAAGAAGAAGCUGACUUGACCAUACAGGACAUCAGGCUCAGGGAGGGACCAGGGGUGAGACCCUCUGGCCAGCACUCAGUUCCAUGCUGUCUUGCAGAGGCCUCCCUGCCCCAGGCACCCGUUCCCUCCCAAGCAGCACGAUCAGGUUCCCACCCUGACCCAUGAAGACUCAGCACCUUGGGCUCUAAACAUUGCACUUAAGGACCAGGCUGUGGUUUGGCCUUGACGGGACAGCACUGACUGAAACAAGCUUCCAAGCACAUGUGAUGGGCUGUGCUCAGUUGGAAACGUUGAUUUAAGUGGGAACAGGGCAAGGGGUGUCACAUCAGAAUCUGAGCCUUAUCUGCACCAUCACCUCCUGCGUCUGCAGAAGCCAGGGUGGGGAGGCAUGUGACAGUGGGGUCUGUCCCCUAACCCAGGGAGACAGGACCCCCUCUGACUUCAUGUAUUGCCAUUGUGACCCCUGACCCCUCCCCCACCCAUGGAGCAACACUGACCACUCCCAGCACCUGGUGUUUCCUCUUGGUGCAAGUUGGUCCCUGGUUGCCCGUGAGCAGAGGGUGGCCAGAGGAAGAGGAGCUGGCAAAGGAGGGCCACAGGGAACCCAGAGGGCACAGAGACAAAAGCCAAUGUGUGGGUCUGGAGACAGACAGUUCUGCUAGAGCAUGCAGUCAACUGACGAGUGGGGGCAUCGAUGUCUGACUGGGAAGGGCAGGGCCACUGGCCCACCCACUUGCGCUGCCUGGAUGUGCCAUACAGUCUGGUCCUUUUUACCUUCUACCUCGCUUUCAUAGAUCUGGGGCAGGAGAAAGAAGGAAUAACAGUUGGGGAAGGCCAGUUUCCUCAGUUCUAUCCCUGUUUCAGUCUGAAAUCGAAAUGAACAAAAAUAGACAUCCCACUGAGUGACUUUGACUCUUCAGGGAGGAAGGUUGGGGGUGGGACUGGGUUGAUUUUAGACUACAGACACGCCAGCAACUUCAGGAUGUUCCCACGAUACUGGCUGCAUUUGUUAAAAAUACCUUCAAUUCCAAAAAUUACAAAGACUGUAACUAAUCCUGUUCAUCAAAGCCAAGAAAAACACA